GUUAAGUGCAGCAGCAGUGAUCUUCUUGCAAGCCCAGCAGUGGCUGCGGGCACUUGUGUGUGCGGUGUUCGAGCAAUCUCCCCCGAGAUCAAUAAGGCUUUUUUCGUCCGAGACGCACACCAGAUCCACAAGUCCUCAGAAUAUAUCUCCGGAUUACCUUUAAGGAGCGUGGCUCCGGCGCUGUAAAGUUUUACGGCGUUUUCAUUAUUGGCAGCAGCUAAAGCUGUACAUAUCCCAUGGUCCUUGACGCUGCAUGUACAUGACAUUAUCGCCAAGCACUGUACAGAGCGAAUUUCAGACCCACCCUUUGCGUGUGCAAUGUUGUGUGACGUGUAAAGUCCAGCAAAACGCGGGCAGCGCGAGAGGAACGCUCGGCGUGGCACAUAGAACGGCGUCAGCUGCUCCUCCCGGAAUUUCUCAUUGAGGCAAUAAAAGUUUUAUGCUGUACGACGACGUCGACGGUGCGGUGUGCCGGCGCAGAGAAUAAAAUUGAAGCAGCAAGAAAUUGCAUGGAAAUCAUUUCCCUGCUGCUGCUGCUUCUGCUGUUUUCACACUUCUUCGCCGAGGGAAUCGUACAUAUAAUGUAGUCGCUAUAAGGGUGGAUCUGCGGCGCCAACUCGUUCUCCAUAUUCGCGGCGCGCGUGCUUCUGUCUACUCAUGGAUUGACACACUUACCUACCUUUCUCUCUCUCCCUCGCCGGUACUGAACGGAGCCGUCAUAUUACAGCUGACAGUUUUGCUUUUGCCUUCAUCUCGCCUCCAGAAGUAAAAAGUACAUUAUAUCGUGAUGUUGAUGUUAUGUCAAA
This is a long non-coding RNA of Cloeon dipterum, 806 nucleotides long. RefSeq lists it as uncharacterized. Lineage: Eukaryota; Metazoa; Arthropoda; Insecta; Ephemeroptera; Baetidae. The transcript has 3 exons. The record is from RefSeq and is a predicted model, not a curated record.